UGAGGAAUAUUGGUCAAUGGGCGGGAGCCUGAACCAGCCAAGCCGCGUGAGGGAAGAAGGCCCUAUGGGUCGUAAACCUCUUUUGUCAGGGAACAAAAGCGAGUAUGUAUACUGGUCUGAGUGUACCUGAAGAAAAACGCAUCGGCUAACUCCGUGCCAGCAGCCGCGGUAAUACGGAGGAUGCGAGCGUUAUCCGGAUUUAUUGGGUUUAAAGGGUGCGUAGGCGGCGGUGCAAGUCAGCGGUAAGAGCCCAGGGGGUCUCAACCCCGGCGAGCCGUUGAAACUGCAGUGCUAGAGAAGGCGAGAGGUACGCGGAAUGCGCAGUGUAGCGGUGAAAUGCUUAGAUAUUGCGCAGAACUCCGAUUGCGAAGGCAGCGUACUGGCGCCUGACUGACGCUGAGGCACGAAAGCGUGGGGAUCGAACAGGAUUAGAUACC
This 437-nucleotide ribosomal RNA is filed under the name uncultured bacterium. Its description in RNAcentral is "bacterial SSU rRNA". It matches the Rfam family "Bacterial small subunit ribosomal RNA", at positions 355 to 786 of the family's 1533-position model. The record is from RNAcentral.